This 468-nucleotide ribosomal RNA is filed under the name uncultured bacterium. RNAcentral's name for it is "partial 16S ribosomal RNA". It matches the Rfam family "Bacterial small subunit ribosomal RNA", at positions 28 to 507 of the family's 1533-position model. The record is from RNAcentral.
GACGAACGCUGGCGGCGUGCUUAACACAUGCAAGUCGAACGGAAAGGCCCUGCUUUUGUGGGGUGCUCGAGUGGCGAACGGGUGAGUAACACGUGAGUAACCUGCCCUUGACUUUGGGGUAACUUCAGGAAACUGGGGCUAAUACCGGAUAGGAGCUCCUGCUGCAUGGUGGGGGUUGGAAAGUUUCGGCGGUUGGGGAUGGACUGGCGGCUUAUCAGCUUGUUGGUGGGGUAGUGGCUUACCAAGGCUUUGACGGGUAGCCGGCCUGAGAGGGUGACCGGGCACAUGGGGCCUGAGAGACGGCGCAGUCUGCUACAGUGGGCAGCAGUGGGGAGUCUUGCACAAUGAGCGGAAGCCUGAUGCAGAGGCGCCGGGUUCGGGAUGACGGCCUUCUGGUUGUGAACCGCUGUCGCCUGUGACGAAGCGGGAGUGACGGUAAUGGGUAAAGAAGCACCGGCUAACUACGUG